GGACUACACGGGUAUCUAAUCCUGUUUGCUACCCACGCUCUCGCGCCUCAGCGUCAGUUUCAGUCCAGGUGGUCGCCUUCGCCACUGAUGUUCCUUCCGAUCUCUACGCAUUUCACCGCUACACCGGAAAUUCCACCACCCUCUACUGUACUCCAGAAACACAGUCUAAGAUGCUAUUCCUAGGUUAAGCCCAGGGCUUUCACAUCUCACUUGCAUUCCCGCCUACGCGCCCUUUACGCCCAGUCACUCCGAUUAACGCUCGCACCCUCUGUAUUACCGCGGCUGCUGGCAC
Molecule: ribosomal RNA, 292 nt
Filed under: uncultured bacterium
Lineage: Bacteria
Description: partial 16S ribosomal RNA
Source: RNAcentral